UGAGGAAUAUUGGUCAAUGGACGAGAGUCUGAACCAGCCAAGUAGCGUGAAGGAUGACUGCCCUAUGGGUUGUAAACUUCUCUUAUAUGGGAAUAAAAUGUUCCACGUGUGGGAUUUUGUAUGUACCAUAUGAAUAAGGAUCGGCUAACUCCGUGCCAGCAGCCGCGGUAAUACGGAGGAUCCGAGCGUUAUCCGGAUUUAUUGGGUUUAAAGGGAGCGUAGGUGGAUUGUUAAGUCAGUUGUGAAAGUUUGCGGCUCAACCGUAAAAUUGCAGUUGAAACUGGCAGUCUUGAGUACAGUAGAGGUGGGCGGAAUUCGUGGUGUAGCGGUGAAAUGCUUAGAUAUCACGAAGAACUCCGAUUGCGAAGGCAGCUCACUGGACUGCAACUGACACUGAGGCUCGAAAGUGUGGGUAUCAAACAGG
RNAcentral lists this ribosomal RNA (424 nucleotides) under uncultured bacterium. RNAcentral's name for it is "bacterial SSU rRNA". It matches the Rfam family "Bacterial small subunit ribosomal RNA", at positions 355 to 776 of the family's 1533-position model. The record is from RNAcentral.